CUUAACGACCACUACGACAACCAGAUUUAAAGUGCUUUCUCAUAUCGACAAACCUGAAUUUAACCCAGAGAGCAAAGCACUUUGCUCAAACCAACCCGAUUACGUGCUUCUACACAAAACGAGGCAUCGUUUGUCAUCAGUCACGUGAUUUCCUGAAAACGAUCAGUAUCAUUCGUAACGUCACUAUUCUAAGGCACUGGCUUCGAGGUCUAGGCAGUGGGAACCGCAGCUCUGAGCAGCGAAUCGCAAUACAGCAAACAUGGCAUCGAGUGACAAAGACCAGGCACCUUCCAACCUGCCCCAGGCCACCCUGCAGGAGCUCCUCCAAGUCCUGCACUCCCCCAGCUCCCCGCAGCAGCAGCAGCAGGUGCUCAACAUCCUGCGCUCCAACCCGCAGCUCAUGUCCGCCUUCAUCAAACACCAAGUGUAGCUAGCUCCACUGAAAGACGGCUCAAAGACCGUGUGUUGUUUGUGCAAUAAAAGUAGCGUUUAUUCCUGAAA
Conger conger (European conger) is the source of this 501-nucleotide long non-coding RNA. RefSeq lists it as uncharacterized. The record is from RefSeq and is a predicted model, not a curated record. The transcript has 2 exons. NCBI's taxonomy places the organism in Eukaryota, Metazoa, Chordata, Actinopteri, Anguilliformes, Congridae.